Molecule: ribosomal RNA, 610 nt
Filed under: Flavobacterium sp.
Lineage: Bacteria; Pseudomonadati; Bacteroidota; Flavobacteriia; Flavobacteriales; Flavobacteriaceae
Description: bacterial SSU rRNA
Rfam family: Bacterial small subunit ribosomal RNA
Source: RNAcentral
UUUCUUCGGAGAUAGAGACCGGCGCACGGGUGCGUAACGCGUAUGCAAUCUACCUUUUACAGAGGGAUAGCCCAGAGAAAUUUGGAUUAAUACCUCAUAGYAUUAUGAAAUGGCAUCAUUUUAUAAUUAAAGUCACAACGGUAAAAGAUGAGCAUGCGUCCCAUUAGCUAGUUGGUAAGGUAACGGCUUACCAAGGCUACGAUGGGUAGGGGUCCUGAGAGGGAGAUCCCCCACACUGGUACUGAGACACGGACCAGACUCCUACGGGAGGCAGCAGUGAGGAAUAUUGGACAAUGGGCGCAAGCCUGAUCCAGCCAUGCCGCGUGCAGGAUGACGGUCCUAUGGAUUGUAAACUGCUUUUGCACAGGAAGAAACACUCGGUCGUGACCGAGCUUGACGGUACUGUGAGAAUAAGGAUCGGCUAACUCCGUGCCAGCAGCCGCGGUAAUACGGAGGAUCCAAGCGUUAUCCGGAAUCAUUGGGUUUAAAGGGUCCGUAGGCGGUUUAGUAAGUCAGUGGUGAAAGCCCAUCGCUCAACGGUGGAACGGCCAUUGAUACUGCUAGACUUGAAUUAUUAGGAAGUAACUAGAAUAUGUAGUGUAGCGGUGAA